RNAcentral lists this ribosomal RNA (468 nucleotides) under uncultured bacterium. Its description in RNAcentral is "partial 16S ribosomal RNA". It matches the Rfam family "Bacterial small subunit ribosomal RNA", at positions 28 to 507 of the family's 1533-position model. The record is from RNAcentral.
GACGAACGCUGGCGGCGUGCUUAACACAUGCAAGUCGAACGGAAAGGCCCUGCUUUUGUGGGGUGCUCGAGUGGCGAACGGGUGAGUAACACGUGAGUAACCUGCCCUUGACUUUGGGAUAACUUCAGGAAACUGGGGCUAAUACCGGAUAGGAGCUCCUGCUGCAUGGUGGGGGUUGGAAAGUUUCGGCGGUUGGGGAUGGACUCGCGGCUUAUCAGCUUGUUGGUGGGGUAGUGGCUUACCAAGGCUUUGACGGGUAGCCGGCCUGAGAGGGUGACCGGCCACAUUGGGACUGAGAUACGGCCCAGACUCCUACGGGAGGCAGCAGUGGGGAAUAUUGCACAAUGGGCGGAAGCCUGAUGCAGCAACGCCGCGUGCGGGAUGACGGCCUUCGGGUUGUAAACCGCUUUCGCCUGUGACGAGGCGUGAGUGGCGGUAAUGGGUAAAGAAGCACCAGCUAACUACGUG